GCUGAGUGGCUCAGCGGUUAGAGCACAUGGCAUAAUUUUGGAGCAGUGUGGGGACCUGGGUUCAAAUCCCGGCCAUCG
This is a non-coding RNA of Russula aff. rugulosa BPL654, 78 nucleotides long. NCBI's taxonomy places the organism in Eukaryota, Fungi, Basidiomycota, Agaricomycetes, Russulales, Russulaceae. The record is from the annotation of a GenBank genome assembly.